GUGGGGAAUAUUGCACAAUGGGCGAAAGCCUGAUGCAGCAACGCCGCGUGAGGGACGACGGCCUUCGGGUUGUAAACCUCUUUUAGUAGGGAAGAAGCGAAAGUGACGGUACCUGCAGAAAAAGCACCGGCUAACUACGUGCCAGCAGCCGCGGUAAUACGUAGGGUGCAAGCGUUAUCCGGAAUUAUUGGGCGUAAAGAGCUCGUAGGCGGUCUGUCGCGUCUGCUGUGAAAACUGGAGGCUCAACCUCCAGCCUGCAGUGGGUACGGGGAGACUAGAGUGCGGUAGGGGAGAUUGGAAUUCCUGGUGUAGCGGUGGAAUGCGCAGAUAUCAGGAGGAACACCGAUGGCGAAGGCAGAUCUCUGGGCCGUAACUGACGCUGAGGAGCGAAAGCGUGGGGAGCGAACAGGAUUAGAAACCCUGGUAGUCC
This 430-nucleotide ribosomal RNA is filed under the name uncultured bacterium. RNAcentral's name for it is "partial 16S ribosomal RNA". It matches the Rfam family "Bacterial small subunit ribosomal RNA", at positions 354 to 796 of the family's 1533-position model. The record is from RNAcentral.